Molecule: non-coding RNA, 72 nt
Filed under: unclassified sequences
Source: RNAcentral
GGCGGACACGUUCCACCCUCUGUAAUGCCACCGUUGGCGAUCUUAAGUCCGCAUGAAAAGGCAGAGAGAAGA